RNAcentral lists this ribosomal RNA (464 nucleotides) under uncultured bacterium. RNAcentral's name for it is "partial 16S ribosomal RNA". It matches the Rfam family "Bacterial small subunit ribosomal RNA", at positions 28 to 507 of the family's 1533-position model. The record is from RNAcentral.
GAUGAACGCUGGCGGCGUGCUUAACACAUGCAAGUCGAACGGAAAGGCUCCUGCUUGCAGGGGUACUCGAGUGGCGAACGGGUGAGUAACACGUGGGUGAUCUGCCCUGCACUUCGGGAUAAGCCUGGGAAACUGGGUCUAAUACCGGAUAGGACCACAUUUUGGAUGGUGUGGUGGAAAGUUUUUCGGUGUGGGAUGAGCUCGCGGCCUAUCAGCUUGUUGGUGGGGUAAUGGCCUACCAAGGCGUCGACGGGUAGCCGGCCUGAGAGGGUGUACGGCCACAUUGGGACUGGGAUACGGCCCAGACUCCUACGGGAGGCAGCAGUGGGGAAUAUUGCACAAUGGCGCAAGCCUGAUGCAGCGACGCCGCGUGGGGGAUGACGGCCUUCGGGUUGUAAACUCCUUUCGCUAGGGACGAAGCGCAAGUGACGGUACCUGGAGAAGAAGCACCGGCUAACUACGUG